Molecule: ribosomal RNA, 491 nt
Filed under: uncultured bacterium
Lineage: Bacteria
Description: partial 16S ribosomal RNA
Rfam family: Bacterial small subunit ribosomal RNA
Source: RNAcentral
AGUGAACGCUGGCGGUAGGCCUAACACAUGCAAGUCGAACGGCAGCACAGUAAGAGCUUGCUCUUACGGGUGGCGAGUGGCGGACGGGUGAGGAAUACAUCGGAAUCUACUUUUUCGUGGGGGAUAACGUAGGGAAACUUACGCUAAUACCGCAUACGACCUACGGGUGAAAGCAGGGGAUCUUCGGACCUUGCGCGAUUGAAUGAGCCGAUGUCGGAUUAGCUAGUUGGCGGGGUAAAGGCCCACCAAGGCGACGAUCCGUAGCUGGUCUGAGAGGAUGAUCAGCCACACUGGAACUGAGACACGGUCCAGCCUCCUACGGGAGGCAGAAGUGGGGAAUAUUGGACAAGGGGCGAAAGCCUGAUCCAGCCAUACCGCGUGGGUGAAGAAGGCCUUCGGGUUGUAAAGCCCUUUUGUUGGGAAAGAAAAGCAGCAGGUUAAUACCCCGCUGUUCUGACGGUACCAAAAGAAUAAGCACCGGCUAACUUCGU